CAGAAGUGUCCUUUGCUGCAAUUAUAUCACUCCUGCAUUAAAAGCAUACUCUCUUGUCAAAUACAUACAAGCAGAGGACUAGUAGAACUAGCUACAUCUGUUUAAAGAAAUUUUAAAUCAUUUUGCAAUCAAUAAUUCCUAAUUUGUUUCAUUGCAUGUACAUUUUACACCUUUUCCUUAACAAGUGAAUGAGAUCCUGUUUUCCAUUCAUGACUUGGUGUGCAGGAGAUAAGGAAGAUAAAGAGGAAAAUAAUCAGAAGAUUUUGCAGAGAGAAGCAACCGGGGUUUCACCCUGCUGGAAUGAACAGUCACCUACACCAGGCAGCUUAACUGAAUGCGUUUUGUAUUUUAAGUUUCAGACACAACUUGAAACCCAAGGAAGAUCCUCUUCAAGUUGCUGGCAGAUGGGAGCCUGUGGACAAAUACCUGACUGUGAAAUCACAGCAGUUUGGACGUCAACCAGAGAUACAGCUAACCAAUCACUAUGCAGAGCAGUUGCUAACAACAGAAAAUGUCACCGUUCCUUUGGGAGACAACUGCUAACCACACAAAGUGAGUAAGUUUAUAAAUAAUUAGGGAAAAAGAUUAGAAAACAUGUAACCUUGAGUUGUGAGCUAAUACACAUUAGCUCUUCCUGUGAUGAAUGACAAUGGCUGAGUAGCUGCAUGUUAGAAGCGUGGAAUGCAGACGCAGUGUCAGCCUAACUCCACCAUCACAAAGAGCUGAAUGGGCAGGAGAGAAGGAGCCUGUGGGCUGGCGGGGUCAGGUGAGGACAGUAGGACCCGGUUGGAUUUGAUGUACUUUUGUGGCCAUUAGCUGACCAGGAAGAAUUCUUUCAGUCCUGAGAUGUGACUUUUUCUUCCUUCUCUGUCCUGGAAAUUUCAUUUUCCUGAGAUAAGGGAAGGAAAGGAGCCUCCCCAGCCUCUUCUGGAUGCUCUUUUUCUCUCUGAAAAGGAAGAAAUGAAAUUCCAUGACAGGAUCCUAGCUGAUCCAGAGACUAUGGGGGUGGCAGGGUGGCAUUUCUGGAAGGUCCACCCCUGGGUGGGUCUAUAAAAGCCUGUGAACUUGAAAUUUUGUUCAGAACUGCUAAGUGAAGAAUUCUGAAGCCUAAGUUGAAUGUAGAAUGUUGAAGGAGAGUAUUUGUGAAGGAGAGACAAGGGUGUGGACUACAGCUGCCGGUGAGGUCAGGGCCUCUACUGUCCAGGGCUUGCCCCACAUUAUCUCAGCACAUUCAUGAGAAGAGCAUCCCAACUUCAAAACCUCUCUGCCUGUGUUUUGUAGAGGGUGUCUAGUGGGGAGAGAGAGAAGAGAAAAUGCUUCCUGACCUUUGUAAACCAACAUGUGUCAGCCAGGGAGAGUUAAGAACUCUGUAACUGGGUGACUCUUGGCCAUGUGGUGGUAGAUAGAGCCAUGGCUGUGAGAGGGAUUGAGGUUUUUCUAGGGUGGCUCUGAGCUGGUGAAUGAGAUGAAAAUUAAGUGGAGAAUCAGAAUUAAGAAUCCUAAGCACUAAGAGUAGAGUAUAGUGAGGAAGAGAGAUGCGUACAUGACACCUGGGGAUCA
Molecule: long non-coding RNA, 1560 nt
Filed under: Castor canadensis (American beaver)
Lineage: Eukaryota; Metazoa; Chordata; Mammalia; Rodentia; Castoridae
Description: lncRNA (ENSCCNG00000022417.1)
Source: RNAcentral